GAUGAACGCUGGCGGCGUGCCUAAUACAUGCAAGUCGAGCGAACAGACGAGGAACUUGCUCCUCUGACGUUAGCGGCGGACGGGUGAGUAACACGUGGAUAACCUCCCUAUAGGACUGGGAUAACUUCGGGAAACCGGAGCUAAUACCGCAUACUAUAUUGAACAGAAUGGUUCAAUAAUGAAAGACGGUUUUGCUCUCACUUAUAGAUGGAUCCGCGCCGCAUUAGCUAGUUGGUAAGGUAACGGCUUACCAAGGCAACGAUGCGUAGCCGACCUGAGAGGGUGAUCGGCCACACUGGAACUGAGACACGGUCCGGACUCCUACGGGAGGCAGCAGUAGGGAAUCUUCCGCAAUGGGCGAAAGCCUGACGGAGCAACGCCGCGUGAGUGAUGAAGUUCUUCGGAUCGUAAAACUCUGUUAUUAGGGAAGAACAAAUGUGGAAGUAACUAUGCACGUCUUGACGGUACCUAAACAGAAAGCCACGGCUAACUACGUG
RNAcentral lists this ribosomal RNA (497 nucleotides) under uncultured bacterium. RNAcentral's name for it is "partial 16S ribosomal RNA". It matches the Rfam family "Bacterial small subunit ribosomal RNA", at positions 28 to 507 of the family's 1533-position model. The record is from RNAcentral.